GUGGAUUAGAUACCCUGGUAGUCCACGCCGUAAACGAUGAGAACUAGGUGUCGUGGGUGUUGACCCCCGCGGUGCCGCAGCUAACGCAUUAAGUUCUCCGCCUGGGAAGUACGGCCGCAAGGUUAAAACUCAAAGGAAUUGACGGGGGCCCGCACAAGCGGUGGAGCAUGUGGUUCAAUUCGACGCAACGCGCAGAACCUUACCCAGAUUUGACAUCCUGGAAAGCUGGCCCAAAAGUCGGCGUGCCCGCAAGGGAAUCCAGAGACAGGUGCUGCAUGGUCGUCGACAACU
This 291-nucleotide ribosomal RNA is filed under the name uncultured bacterium. Its description in RNAcentral is "partial 16S ribosomal RNA". It matches the Rfam family "Bacterial small subunit ribosomal RNA", at positions 773 to 1060 of the family's 1533-position model. The record is from RNAcentral.